CUCUGAAAUUGUACUGCAAGGUUCCAUAUCACAAAGGGAAUGCUUGGAUUGAUUUUUGGGGUAAUUGCCUCAAAAUUUUAGGAAUUAGGGGCUAAAAAAGGGGCAAAAAAACAAGCAUUUUUCUAGUUUCAUGACAAUAACUUGUGUGUAAGUCUAUGGAUCUUUCUGAAAUUGUACUACAAGGUUCCAUAUCACAAAGGGAAAGCUGGAAUUGAGUUUGGGGGUAAUUGCCCAAAACAUUUAGGAAUAAGGGGCCAAAAAGGGGCCAAAAAUAAGCAUUUUUCUAGUUUCCAGACAAUAACUUGUGUUCAAGUGUAUUGAUCUCUCUGAAAUUGUACUGCAAGGUUCCAUAUCACAAAGGGAAUGUUUGGAUUGAUUUUGCGGGUAAUUGCCUCAAAAUUUUAGGAAUUAGGGGCCAAAAAAGGGGCAACAAACAAGUAUUUUUCUAGUUUCAUGACAAUAACUUGUGUGUAAGUCUAUGGAUCUUUAUGAAAUUGUACUACUAGGUUCCAUUUUACAAAGGGAAAGCUGGAAUUGAGUUUGGGGGUAAUUGCCCAAAACGUUUAAGAAUAAGGGGCCAAAAAGGGGGCCAAAAAUAAGCAUUUUUCUAGUUUCCAGACAAUAACUUGUGUUCAAGUGUAUGGAUCUCUCUGAAAUUAUACUGCAAGGUACCAUACCACAAAGGGAAGGCUGGGAUUGAUUUUUGGGGUAAUUGCCUCAAAAUUUUAGAAAAAAGGGGCAAAAAAACAAGCAUUUUUCUAGUUUCAGGACAAUAACUUGUUUGUAAGUGUAUGGAUCUUUAUGAAAUUGUACUACAAGGUUCCAUAUCACAAAGGGAAAGCUGGGUUUGAGUUUGGGGGUAAUUGCCCAAAACGUUUAGGACUAAGGGGCCAAAAAAUAAGCAUUUUUCUAGUUUCCAGACAAUAACUUGUGUUCAAGUGUAUGGAUCUCUCUGAAAUUGUACUGCAAGGUACCAUACCACAAAGGGAAGGCUGGGAUUGCUUUUGGGGGUAAUUCCCUUAAAAUUUUAGGAAUUAGGGGCCAUAAAGGGGCAAAAAAACAAGCAUUUUUCUAGUUUCGGGACAAUAACUUGUGUGUAAGUGUAUGGAACUUUAUGAAAUUGUACUGCAAGGUUCCAUAUCACAAAGGGAAAGCUAGGUUUGAGUUUGGGGGUAAUUGCCCUAAACGUUUAGGAAUUUGGGGCCAAAAAACAAGCAUU
Mytilus californianus (California mussel) is the source of this 1219-nucleotide long non-coding RNA. RefSeq lists it as uncharacterized. The transcript has 3 exons. Lineage: Eukaryota; Metazoa; Mollusca; Bivalvia; Mytilida; Mytilidae. The record is from RefSeq and is a predicted model, not a curated record.